CCUACGGGAGGCAGCAGUGGGGAAUAUUGCGCAAUGGGCGAAAGCCUGACGCAGCAACGCCGCGUGGAGGAUGAAGGUUUUCGGAUUGUAAACUCCUUUCAGCAGGGACGAAGGCGCCUAGCGUUGACGGUACCUGCAGAAGAAGCCCCGGCUAACUACGUGCCAGCAGCCGCGGUAAUACGUAGGGGGCAAGCGUUGUCCGGAAUUAUUGGGCGUAAAGAGCACGUAGGCGGUUUGCCAAGUCAGAUGUGAAAUCCCGCAGCUUAACUGCGGAACUGCAUUUGAUACUGGCAGGCUAGAGUACAGGAGAGGGAAGCGGAAUUCCUAGUGUAGCGGUGAAAUGCGCAGAUAUUAGGAAGAACACCGGUGGCGAAGGCGGCUUCCUGGACUGUUACUGACGCUGAGGUGCGAAAGCUAGGGGAGCAAACAGGAUUAGAUACCCUGGUAGUCCACGCAGUAAACGGUGAACACUAGGUGUAGCGGGUAUUGACCCCUGCUGUGCCGCAGCAAACGCAUUAAGUGUUCCGCCUGGGGAGUACGGCCGCAAGGCUAAAACUCAAAGGAAUUGACGG
This 572-nucleotide ribosomal RNA is filed under the name uncultured Actinomycetes bacterium. RNAcentral's name for it is "bacterial SSU rRNA". It matches the Rfam family "Bacterial small subunit ribosomal RNA", at positions 338 to 916 of the family's 1533-position model. Lineage: Bacteria; Bacillati; Actinomycetota; Actinomycetes. The record is from RNAcentral.